Molecule: ribosomal RNA, 464 nt
Filed under: Vreelandella stevensii
Lineage: Bacteria; Pseudomonadati; Pseudomonadota; Gammaproteobacteria; Oceanospirillales; Halomonadaceae
Description: partial 16S ribosomal RNA
Rfam family: Bacterial small subunit ribosomal RNA
Source: RNAcentral
CCUACGGGCGGCAGCAGUGGGGAAUAUUGGACAAUGGGGGGAACCCUGAUCCAGCCAUGCCGCGUGUGUGAAGAAGGCCCUCGGGUUGUAAAGCACUUUCAGUGAGGAAGAACGCCUGGUGGUUAAUACCCAUCAGGAAAGACAUCACUCACAGAAGAAGCACCGGCUAACUCCGUGCCAGCAGCCGCGGUAAUACGGAGGGUGCGAGCGUUAAUCGGAAUUACUGGGCGUAAAGCGCGCGUAGGUGGCUUGAUAAGCCGGUUGUGAAAGCCCGGGCUCAACCUGGGAACGGCAUCCGGAACUGUCAAGCUAGAGUGCAGGAGAGGAAGGUAGAAUUCCCGGUGUAGCGGUGAAAUGCGUAGAGAUCGGGAGGAAUACCAGUGGCGAAGGCGGCCUUCUGGACUGACACUGACACUGAGGUGCGAAAGCGUGGGUAGCAAACAGGAUUAGAUACCCUAGUAGUC